The sequence is a non-coding RNA, 211 nucleotides long. It matches the Rfam family "6S / SsrS RNA". Rfam says of the family: E. coli 6S RNA was the first non coding RNA to be sequenced, but its function was unknown until recently. It consists of 184 nucleotides that fold into an extended hairpin structure with a large single-stranded internal bulge. The record is from Rfam.
AUGUUCCUGAAAUGUCCGACCGACCUCUAAUUUUGAACCGGCAAAUAUGAAAAGGGAGCCCGGAGUCUUUAUUAGGAGCACAGGCCCCAAUUAAUUUGGGCAACGGUGAAUAACCGCUGUCCGGCAGGGGAAGUGUGAAUAAUAAAGCAGGGCACCCACCUGGCGGAAUGCUGGGUGUCAAAAUAUAGAGGAACGGCAUUUUGGGGCAUGG